AUGUGCCACUCUCAUCACAUUACAUCAAGCGAUACACACUAUCAACAUGACAUUACUGCUGAUGUGAACCUUGAUUCCUCGGCUGAUGUAGUGUUUGCCAGGUUUCUCUACUGUCAAGUUACUCUUUUCUCCACUUUCCAUAUUGUACUUUCUGAAAGUUUUUGAAGAGGAUUUUAUCAAGCUUCUUUUUUGAAAAAUCACCUGCAUUGGCAAUAGUUCACCAGUCCAAAUGCAAACUUAUCCCUUGAUCUGGUCUAUGGCUUGAAAACAUAAUCUUCAAAUAUUACUGAGCUUCUAAAGAGCAAGAUAACAGAAAAAUAGACUACCAUCAGAAAAUACAUUUUGAGAAAAACAUUAUUUGCUAGUAUUUUAAAAUGAAAUGUCAUGAAUGUUAAAUUCUAACUUUCAAAGAUUACUGAUUUAUCAUUGAAGAAAAGAAGAAACCUUCUAUAAAACUCCUGGUAAAUUUGUUAUUUGCAUGUUAGCAAAACAAAUGUAAAUAUAAACUAUCUGAUAAAAAUAUCAAAAGCAUGCUUUCUUCUCUUGAUUAAAAUGAAUAAAUCUACACACAGAAGAUGAUUCCUCGUACUGGUCUCUUAGCAAUGUUGAUCGUAUUUUUAUUUAUUUAUUUUUUUGAGACAGAGUCUUGCUCUGUCGCCAGGUGUCAGACUGGAGUGCAGUGGCACAAUCUCGGCUCACUGCAAUCUCUGUGCAUCUUAAUUUUUUAUACCUAAGAAAGUAGGAUUGCAUUUUUUGUAUGAAGCAGAAAUAUUAAUACAAAUAUCUAAAAUAUGUAUGUUAAAAUUAUUUUAUCAAAAUUAAUAACUUUUAAAAUAUUAAAUCAACUUCUACUAAGAGUUACAAUCCUGAAAAUUUUCUACUGAACUAAAGUACAAUCAUUUAAAUGAUAACAAUUUCCUAAACUAAAAAUUAGUGAUAAUUCCCAAUUAACUUUGAAGAAAGAAAAUAAUCUUUCAUGAGGUUUUCAUUGCCUGUUUAUACAUCUGUUUUGAGAGUCUGGAUGUUCAGUAGUACAUUUGUUUGAAGGCUGAAUCAUUCCUGACGGUAACUAUAUUAGCUUGUUCUCACAUUGCUUUAUGGAAAUACCUGAGACUGGGUAAUUUAUAAAGGAACAAGUUUUGAUUGGCUCACAGUUACACAUGACUGGGAAGUCCUCAGGCAUGGUAGAAUGAAGGGGAAGAAAGACACCUUCUUCACAGGAUGUCAGAAUGA
This 1233-nucleotide long non-coding RNA is filed under the name Callithrix jacchus (white-tufted-ear marmoset). Its description in RNAcentral is "lncRNA (ENSCJAG00000086951.1)". Lineage: Eukaryota; Metazoa; Chordata; Mammalia; Primates; Cebidae. The record is from RNAcentral.